RNAcentral lists this transfer RNA (66 nucleotides) under Trapezia lutea. Its description in RNAcentral is "tRNA-Gly". Lineage: Eukaryota; Metazoa; Arthropoda; Malacostraca; Decapoda; Trapeziidae. The record is from RNAcentral.
AUUUUCUUAAUAUAAUUAAGUAUAUUUGAUUUCCAAUCAAAAAGUCUAUGAGUCCUAGAGAAAAUA